CUUCACUGCAACUUGGCCCUGACACUCGGGAUUGAUUGCGUAGGAUAGGUGGGAGGCUUUGAAACUGGGUUUCUGGAUCCGGUGGAGCCAACCUUGAAAUACCACCCUGUUGAUUCUGGGUGUCUAACCUAGACCCAUCAUCUGGGUCAGGAACACGGUCUGGUGGGCAGUUUGACUGGGGCGGUCGCCUCCCAAAGAGUAACGGAGGCGCACGAAGGUCCCCUCAGCCUGAUUGGAAACCAGGCGUAGAGUGCAAUGGCAUAAGGGGGCUUGACUGCGAGGCCGACAGGCCGAGCAGGUACGAAAGUAGGUCAUAGUGAUCCGGUGGUUCUACAUGGAAGGGCCAUCGCUCAACGGAUAAAAGGUA
Molecule: ribosomal RNA, 367 nt
Filed under: uncultured organism
Description: bacterial LSU rRNA
Rfam family: Bacterial large subunit ribosomal RNA
Source: RNAcentral